CCUCCGCCGGGCGAGUCCGCGAGAAGUCCACUGAACCUUAUCAUUUAGAGGAAGGAUAAGUCGUAACAAGGUUUCCGUAGGUGAACCUGCGGAAGGAUCAUUAUCGAAACCUGCCUAGCAGAACGACCCGAGAACAUGUUUCAACGCUUGGGGGCGGAGGGUCUUGCGGCUCUGCGCCCCCUCAUCCUAGGAGGCAAGUGUCUUGCGCGUUGCAUUUCGGUGCUUGCGCUUGACCGACCCUCCCGGGCGUACUGAACACCGGCGUGAAUUGCGCCAAGGAACUUGAAUGAAAGAGCGUUUCCCCCGCCGUCCCGGAGACGGUGCUCGUGCGGGUGGUUUCGCGUCUUCAAUAUGUCUAAACGACUCUCGGCAACGGAUAUCUCGGCUCUCGCAUCGAUGAAGAACGUAGCGAAAUGCGAUACUUGGUGUGAAUUGCAGAAUCCCGUGAACCAUCGAGUCUUUGAACGCAAGUUGCGCCCGAAGCCAUUAGGCCGAGGGCACGUCUGCCUGGGCGUCACACGUCGUUGCCCCCCCCAACCCCCUCGGGAGUUGGAUGGGACGGAUGAUGGCCUCCCGUGUGCUCAGUCACGCGGUUGGCAUAAAUACCAAGUCCUCGGCGACCAACGCCACGACAAUCGGUGGUUGUCAAACCUCGGUUUCCUGUCGUGCGCGCGUGUUGAUCGAGUGCUUUUUAAACAAUGCGUGUCGAUCCGUCGAUGCUUUCAACGCGAACCCCUGUCAGGCGGGGUUACCCGCUGAGUUUAAGCAUAUCAAUACCGCAGGAAAA
This 787-nucleotide ribosomal RNA is filed under the name Bussea sakalava. RNAcentral's name for it is "eukaryotic LSU rRNA". The stretch from base 362 to 517 matches the Rfam family "5.8S ribosomal RNA". The record is from RNAcentral. Lineage: Eukaryota; Viridiplantae; Streptophyta; Magnoliopsida; Fabales; Fabaceae.